AAUCUAUUGAGACUGUCAGCAUGAUCAGUGGGGUCGCAAGGUAGAAAUUGACGAAAACAAGAAUAGAGCCAGAUUAGGAUUUCAACUAGGGCCAUUCAACAUCAAAGUUGAAGAUGUGCAACCAAGUUUUCAUAGUGGAGGGUUCAUUCAUAGUAAUGAUCAACACACAAUUGCUAUGAUCAAGGAUGGUAACGAUGAAGGCGAAGCUUGCGCCAACUUUGUGACGCAUGGCCAGAC
This 237-nucleotide long non-coding RNA is filed under the name Lathyrus oleraceus (garden pea). RNAcentral's name for it is "Pisum sativum (pea) long non-coding RNA (PSAT_LNC032595)". The record is from RNAcentral. Lineage: Eukaryota; Viridiplantae; Streptophyta; Magnoliopsida; Fabales; Fabaceae.